ACCCGGGGUGUGGUGGCGACAAGGGGUAGCGAGGAAAGAAUAGGAGUAGAGGAAAGAAGUAAAAGGGGUCAGCGGAUACGAAGUCUGAUGGUUUAGGUGGUACUGCGUGUAGGGUCGAGAGAGAACAGAUGAGAUGCGGAGCGAUCGGUGGCCUGUGGUCGUAGGUAUCGGUUGGGUGUCGGGGUUGCGGGUGGGGUGUCGCGCUCGAUGGUGCUGCCCCCCGCGAGGACCACAACGCUGGACCCCGCUACACGUCCCAAGUACCGCGCUGCCACCUACUCCCACGAGCACCGGUGCAAUCAAAAACGACCUUGGCCGCUUGGUAAAACGAUGUUGGCAAAAACCAAAAACAAUGAUGGUCACAAAACACGUAAACACGAUGUAGGUAGAGGUACUGUAGUGACAAAAAGGUCAGCUAAAAAACGAUGUUGGUACAAUACUAAAACAACCUUGGCUUCCAUUAAAAACGACCUUGGCCGAGUACAAAAACGAUGGUGGGUGGGGUGGGUUUUAGACGAGGAUGACAUAAAAACGACCUUGGCCGAUUGCUAAAACGAUGCUGGCCGGUCCUAAAAACGACCUUGGCCGAGACGCCAACGACGUUGGCCGUUCUGUUGCACGGGUAACCUCGACCUCGAUAUCGCGCGAGUGGCCGCUACACCAAAAACGACCUUAGCCGAUCAAUGAAACGAUGUUAGUCUGAAACCCCUAAAAACGACGAUACAAAUAAAAACGAUCUUGAUCACAGUUAAAAACGACCUUGGCUGAUAAGGAAACGAUGUUCGCCUAAAAAAGACUAAAAAACGACGAUACCAACAAGACGACCUUGGCCCGUCGCCCCUACCACUAGCACGACCUUGGCCCGUUGGCCAUACGACCUUGGUAGCCAUCAAAAACGAAGAUGGUCGUCGUUAACUUUGUCGUUAACUUGGUAGCCAUCAAAAAAACGACCUUUGUUAUUAACUAAAACGACCUUGGACGGUUUUGUCAAAAAAAAAAAAACGUCAACAGGUCGCCCCGCUCGCCGGUGCCGCACGAGACGGACGCUCGGCCGUCCGUCGGCGCCACUCGGCCGUUCGCCACCGCUACUCGGUCGCUCGCCGCCCCACCCCCGAUGCGCGCUUGGUGGCGUCUCCUAUAACACCUAGACUUCGCUCCUUCUUCCCCUGCGCGCACCCCUAUCGAGCGACUUAGCACGCCAGGACCCCUGUGAUUAGCACGCCGACGCACCCCUGGCCGGCUUUGCAAACCCGGCCACGCGGCCGCGGAUCGCGACCGGUAAGAUUUUACAGAGAUUACGAUUGAAGUAGUACGACAGGAAAAACCGGUUUUAUAACUCCUUAGGGCGGUUUAGUACUACAGGAAAAGACUACCUAGUCACCGUUUUAGAUAAUCUCUACAAGAGGGCAGGAAAAGUCGGUUUAGGG
Molecule: ribosomal RNA, 1427 nt
Filed under: Triticum aestivum (bread wheat)
Lineage: Eukaryota; Viridiplantae; Streptophyta; Magnoliopsida; Poales; Poaceae
Description: partial small subunit ribosomal RNA
Source: RNAcentral